AGUACGAAAGGAGUAAAUAACUAAAAUAUUUUUAGUAUA
RNAcentral lists this ribosomal RNA (39 nucleotides) under Potamon setiger. RNAcentral describes it as "partial 16S ribosomal RNA". The record is from RNAcentral. Lineage: Eukaryota; Metazoa; Arthropoda; Malacostraca; Decapoda; Potamidae.